GGGCCUGUAGCUCAGGGGUAGAGCGCUCGCUUUGCAUUCUGAUGUAGAAAAUGCGAGAGGCCUAGGGUUCAAAUCCCUACCGGUCCA
Nemania abortiva is the source of this 87-nucleotide non-coding RNA. The record is from the annotation of a GenBank genome assembly. Lineage: Eukaryota; Fungi; Ascomycota; Sordariomycetes; Xylariales; Xylariaceae.